This is a long non-coding RNA of Armigeres subalbatus, 2354 nucleotides long. RefSeq lists it as uncharacterized. The record is from RefSeq and is a predicted model, not a curated record. The transcript has 4 exons. NCBI's taxonomy places the organism in Eukaryota, Metazoa, Arthropoda, Insecta, Diptera, Culicidae.
UCAUUGACGAAUACAUAGACCGAAAUGUCCGGUACAAAGCCAUCAGAAAAUCGGGCACCAUGUCUUCUUCUUCAUUUUGAAGAAAAUACCCCUCGUGGGUGACGAAUUACAUAAAUAUUUUACGAGCGCUGACUUACCCCUCUUGACGUUUUGACAGUUUGUUUGUUUUUCUCCCUCACCUUGUGACGUCGUUUCGGUUCGUUUGUUGUUUGUUCGUUUCGUUACUCAGUUGGAGCGUGAGUUCGACCGUUUUGGUGCCAUCAAAAAGAUCGAAUAUAACAAAGGGGACACCCAGGCCUACAUGUACGAUUCUAUUGAUGCUGCUACGGCUGCUGUGAAGGAAAUGCGUGGAUUCCCGUUAGGGGCACCGGAUCGUCGUAUUCGUAUCGAUUUUGCUGAUAACGGAACAACACCAUCGUUCUCAAAGCGCAGUGGAGGUUUUGAGGAAGGCGGUGAGUAUCGUCGCGCCCCCGACUACGAAUAUCCGGAAGGUGGUGCAUCAUACGAGGAAAAUUCAUUGUACGGCUAUGGUGGAAGACCGUUCCGCGGCAGAGGAGGAUUCCGCGGGCGUGGUGGUUUCCGUGGCAGUUUUCAUAGUGAUGGCCCACCGCACCACGGGGACAAUGAUGAAUGGCGUCGAUCAGGAGCCGAUGGUGAAUCCUAACGGACGGAAACAACAAAAUAGUGGACAGCCUGAUGAAGGACGAGGUAGGUAAACACCACCUUCGUAUUACUCUGCUACUACGCCUCGAUCAACCCAAGUUGGAAGAUGUGCAGUAGCGCAUAUCGACGUCAUCGUCGCACGCAAUCUUCCUCGGCAUGCCGGGAUCGACGUCAUCGGUAGCAUCGUCGGAUGAUGUCAGCGUUCAGACGCGUCCACUGCGUAAUCUCGUGUCCUACCUGGAGCAGAAAGAAGCGGCCGGCGUUAUAUCCUUACUCAAUAAGGAAACGGAAGCAACCGGUGUGCUCUACUCAUUCCCGCCAUGCGAUUUUUCGACAGAAUUGUUGAAACGAACAUGUCACAACCUCAACCUCAGGAGGGACUGAAGGAAGACCAUCUGGUAAUCGUAGUGGUCCGAGGAGGAAUCGCCUGAGUUGCGGAUGAGGGCGCAGAUAACACAUAAGAUCAAACGAGUGCGACAACGGGCCGUGGUUGGAGGCAACAAAUAAGAAGCUGCUGACCUUUUCCUUCCAGUCCAAUCCUUUCAUUUGAUGGCUAUGCAUAGUGGUGCGAAACGUCAGCUUUCCUGGAUUGUUCAACACUAGAGUACAUCUGUGUCCUGUUAAUACUACACCACAGAGAUUAUUCAACACGAAAAGUGUAUCUCCUGAUGUACGAAUCCCCGAGAUAGUAAAGUGUGAGAAAUAAAACCGUAUCGGUGAAAGUAGCCUUGGACCACUUGUUUGGGAUUUGGAGUAUGAUAAAAAAAAUUAAGCCUGACGACGGAUGACAAAAGCUAUAUUUUUCCCACGGGUCAAGAAAACGAUUCAGAAAUGGAAAAGCUCGUGCUCCUUGCUGACAAGGAAUGGAAAAAAAACUCAACAUUCUAAUUCAUUUUACUCCGAACGAGUCGAUUCUGUAUUGGCUACAAUAAUAGUCCGACUGAUGGGAACAGCUGAUAGGGAACAGGCAGUAAGCAUGAUGGCGUUAUGGUUACGAAGUUUAGUCAAUGUAACUGCUGCUCAAUCAAAGCGAUCGAGAAAUUAUCAAGCAGAAUGUGAUCCAGAAAGAGAGCAACUCAGAGUCACAUAAAUAACCUGGAGAUUCCAGUACUUUGAGCAGUAGGAUAAAGGAUUAUCUUUGAUAACUCUUCUGCUUCUACUGCAAUCCAUACGUGAGGAGCAAAGCAAGCGGACCAGUAACGAAAUCUAGAAACUCCCAAUAGCUGCCAACGAAGCCAAUGGUGAUGAAACGGGGGCCGGCGGAGGAGAUCAAAUCCCAAGUUGGGGCUCAGCGCUCUUGUGAUCGAAUUUGGCCCUCUAUCGAAAUCGAGUACUUUUGUUCCUUUGAAGUGGUGUAUGACAUAUGCUGAUGCCAGUAGUCGUGAGUAUGUGCACGAUAGAGGAAGGCCUGUCCUGGUGCUGCUACUAAACUGCUUAUCAAACUUGUUCUAUGCACAAAAUUGAAAGCCAACUUUAUCCGGAAGAAUAAUGGAAUUCUGGUGGUGAAAUAUGGACAAUCUCAGGACAAUCAAUAUUUAACUUUCUAUAUAAGUUAUAUGAACGCUGAGUUUGGCCUAAAAUGCACCCCGUGAGGUACCGUGAGAGAAAAAGCAGAGCGACUUAAUAUCUAAAGGUUUAAACAUCUGUAUUCUUUUCAAUCCUAUGGCAAUAAAAUUAAUUGUAUAUUUGAA